AGGAUUUAAAUCGCACUACCCAAGAAAUCAUCUUUUGAAUUCUAGAAAUUUAAUCAGCAUGAAGUGCUGUAUGGACAUUAAUUAGAAGAACUGAAGUGUUAACCCAAUCUAAGCUCGUCACAAAACAGUUUUUUUUUCCAAAAAAAAAAUGAAAACAUAGUAAUUACAUUUGUAGAUCUCGAUGGUAGGCAUCAUUUGUUUACACAGACUAAAAGAGAGAACACCUUCAAAUCACUCAAACCAUGCACGAACCCAUCAGACAAGCAUAAAGAAAAGGGCAGCAUGUCUUAUGACAUAAAGUAAACAGGGGAGGAAAUAAAAAAAAAUUCUGCUACCACUUAGGUUUAAACUCAUCUUUUAAUGACUCUUCCAAGGCUUCAAUUCAACAUGAAUAAUAGUAGAGAUAGAAGAAGAUAGGAGGAUAACCUGAAUGCGAAAUAUUUCAAUUAAUUCUGGGAGUCGAAUACAAAGAAAUGCGACAACAAAGUUGAGCAGAAACUGUAGCCAAAUUGAAAUUGCGAAAGACCAACUCGGACAGAAUCAAUAGAGCCCAGAAAUUCAGAAUCCCAGACACAAACUUCAACUUGAAAUUUAAUCCAAAACAUCCUUUUAGAACCAGAAAUUAAGAAAAGAACCAAGGCUAAAAGGAUAUCUGUUUCAGUAGCCUUUUUUUUAUUUUUUCUCUUAAAAAAACUCGAAUGAAAGCUGAACUCCAGCCAUUUGUUUUCUUUUAUGCUUUUUGUAUCUUUUCUGAAAAAAAAAAAGAAAUAGACUAAGAAAAACCUUCAAGAAAAGUGACGAUUUCAACCCUAGAAAUUUUACUCGACUAACUUUUUUCUGAAGAUUUUUCUCCGAUUUUUUCUCUAUAUUUUCCCUUUUUUUAGCACAUAGGACUCACCUCAUAUAUAUAGUCUUCAAAAUCUUCAAAUAAUCUGCCCAAAAAUUCGAAAAAUCCCUCAAGUUUUUGAACAAUUUUGGGACAAAUGGAGGGCGUGGAUUGAUUCACAUCUAUCCACGGCUCCCAUUCAUCCAACAAUUGUCCUUUCUGCACCCAAAAUCAUGCGAUUUGGGAGAGAAAAUUCGUACUCCUCUCUGACAAAUCCGUUAGGACUCAAAUGACGUGAAGGGGGGACCGUUUUGAGUGAGCUCGCUCAAAACUCAGGCUAGUUAAGGUAAGUCAAGGAGGAAGAAGAUGAAGGAAUAGGGUGAAGCGCCAUUUCUCUGAUUUCUCUAGGGUU
This 1238-nucleotide long non-coding RNA is filed under the name Nicotiana tabacum (common tobacco). RNAcentral's name for it is "long non-coding RNA (NTAB_LNC012175)". Lineage: Eukaryota; Viridiplantae; Streptophyta; Magnoliopsida; Solanales; Solanaceae. The record is from RNAcentral.